Molecule: long non-coding RNA, 595 nt
Organism: Falco peregrinus (peregrine falcon)
Lineage: Eukaryota; Metazoa; Chordata; Aves; Falconiformes; Falconidae
Exons: 4
Source: RefSeq, a predicted model, not a curated record
UCAGAUCCGCCGGCCGGAGCAAAGUUAAACUGGGUUUAUUUAUUUAUUUGACUUCUUCCUGUGAAGGGGGAAAAAAAUCCAGUAAAAUUCGUUUUCCGGGCAAAAUCAGCGUCGUCUGCCUGGCCGGGGGGCGGUGGGUGCUGCGGCCGUGCUCGGGCCGUGCUGCGGGCGGUGCGAGGCGGCAGGAACAGGGAUUGCUGCUUGGUCAGAGGUCGGGGCCCGUGUGAUCCAUUUCUGCCACUGCUUCAGUGGGUCCAGAAGAGCUGGAGAAGACACCGGCAAAAUCAAAUGAUUGGACUUGUCCUUUCUCUCUCACAGGGUUUCACCCUAUGUCACACCAAGAUUUAAAAAAUCAGCUCUCAUGGCUUUGCUCAAGAGAUUCAGGAAUGGUUCCUGGACAAGCAGCACAGGCCUCUGCAGAGCCGAAGCGGCACCAGCACCAUCAGUACCCUGCCUGUUUCUCCAGACCUGACCUACAACUAUAAAUGCUGUAUUGGCGAUUUCUUUGUCCUUAGGGGCAAAAAAUACAUUUUCCAGUGAAAAAAAAUCCUCUGGGAAUAUCUCUAACUGUUCCCACUGGAGCGUGCAGCAUCAC